CAGGAUGAACGCUAGCUACAGGCUUAACACAUGCAAGUCGAGGGGCAGCAUUUUAGUUUGCUUGCAAACUGAAGAUGGCGACCGGCGCACGGGUGAGUAACACGUAUCCAACCUGCCGAUAACUCCGGGAUAGCCUUUCGAAAGAAAGAUUAAUACCGGAUGGCAUACGAAUAUCGCAUGAUAUUUUUAUUAAAGAAUUUCGGUUAUCGAUGGGGAUGCGUUCCAUUAGUUUGUUGGCGGGGUAACGGCCCACCAAGACUACGAUGGAUAGGGGUUCUGAGAGGAAGGUCCCCCACAUUGGAACUGAGACACGGUCCAAACUCCUACGGGAGGCAGCAGUGAGGAAUAUUGGUCAAUGGGCGAGAGCCUGGACCAGCCAAGUAGCGUGAAGGAUGAAGGCUCUAUGGGUCGUAAACUUCUUUUAUAUGGGAAUAAAGUUUUCCACGUGUGGAAUUUUGUAUGUACCAUAUGAAUAAGGAUCGGCUAACUCCGUGCCAGCAGCCGCGGUAAUACGGAGGAUCCGAGCGUUAUCCGGAUUUAUUGGGUUUAAAGGGAGCGUAGGUGGAUUGUUAAGUCAGUUGUGAAAGUUUGCGGCUCAACCGUAAAAUUGCAGUUGAAACUGGCAGUCUUGAGUACAGUAGAGGUGGGCGGAAUUCGUGGUGUAGCGGUGAAAUGCUUAGAUAUCACGAAGAACUCCGAUUGCGAAGGCAGCUCACUAGACUGUUACUGACACUGAUGCUCGAAAGUGUGGGUAUCAAACAGGAUUAGAUACCCUGGUAGUCCACACAGUAAACGAUGAAUACUCGCUGUUUGCGAUAUACAGUAAGCGGGCCAAGCGAAAGCAUUAAGUAUUCCACCUGGGGAGU
Molecule: ribosomal RNA, 866 nt
Filed under: uncultured organism
Description: SSU rRNA
Rfam family: Bacterial small subunit ribosomal RNA
Source: RNAcentral